CCGUGUCGUGAGAUGUUGGGUUAAGUCCCGCAACGAGCGCAACCCUUGCCUUUAGUUGCCAGCAGUUCGGCUGGGCACUCUAAAGGGACUGCCGGUGUUAAACCGGAGGAAGGUGGGGAUGACGUCAAGUCCUCAUGGCCUUUAUGACCAGGGCUACACACGUACUACAAUGGCCGAUACAAAGGGCAGCGACACUGCGAGGUGAAGCCAAUCCCGUAAAAUCGGUCUCAGUCCGGAUUGGAGUCUGCAACUCGACUCCAUGAAGUUGGAAUCGCUAGUAAUCGUGGAUCAGCAUGCCACGGUGAAUACGUUCCCGGGCCUU
This 322-nucleotide ribosomal RNA is filed under the name uncultured Desulfobulbus sp. RNAcentral describes it as "bacterial SSU rRNA". It matches the Rfam family "Bacterial small subunit ribosomal RNA", at positions 1060 to 1382 of the family's 1533-position model. Lineage: Bacteria; Pseudomonadati; Thermodesulfobacteriota; Desulfobulbia; Desulfobulbales; Desulfobulbaceae. The record is from RNAcentral.